CAGCCGAGAGGACCCCCUCGGAGAUCCAGUUUCACCAGGUGAAAUUUGGCGCCCCACGCAGGAAGGAAACUGACCCGCUGAAUGAGCCGUGGGAGGAAGAGUGGACACUACUGGGAAAGGAAGAGCUGAGUGGGAGCCUGCUGCAGUCGGUCCAGGAGGCCUUGGAGGAAAGGAGUCUGACCAUUCGGUCAGCCUCAGAAUUCCAGGUGCCACACAGAAGGAGGCUGGAGCUGGGAUCCAGGCCACUGCAGAGGGUACGAUUGGAGUGGGAUACGGUUACAGGGCAACCUGGUAACGGCUGGGCUGGGCCCUGCCCCUCCUACCAGGAGCUGGACUCCCCAGAUGAUACCAUGGGAACCAUCAAGCGGGCCCCGUUCCUAGGGCCACUCCCCCCUGAGCCUCCAGCAGAGGAGCCUCUGUCCAGUCCCCCAGGAACCGUGCCCCCACCUCCUUCAGGCCCCAAUAGCUCCCCACGGCUGCCCACGGCCUGGGCCACCAUGAAGCAGCGGGAGGAUCCUGAGGUGAGAGGGUGCUACAAGGGGGUGGGGAGACGGGCGGCUACAGCUGUCAUAUCAGCCCUGACUCCUUCCCUCCCUCCCAGAGGUCGUCCUGCCACGGGCUCCCCCCAACUCCCAAGGUGCAUGUAAGUGUUUG
RNAcentral lists this small RNA (654 nucleotides) under Pongo abelii (Sumatran orangutan). RNAcentral's name for it is "retained intron". Lineage: Eukaryota; Metazoa; Chordata; Mammalia; Primates; Hominidae. The record is from RNAcentral.